This 629-nucleotide ribosomal RNA is filed under the name uncultured Acidobacteriota bacterium. RNAcentral's name for it is "bacterial SSU rRNA". It matches the Rfam family "Bacterial small subunit ribosomal RNA", at positions 9 to 670 of the family's 1533-position model. Lineage: Bacteria; Pseudomonadati; Acidobacteriota. The record is from RNAcentral.
GAGUUUGAUCCUGGCUCAGAAUCAACGCUGGCGGCGUGCCUAACUCAUGCAAGUCGAACGAGAAAGUGGAGCAAUCCAUGAGUAAAGUGGCGCACGGGUGAGUAACACGUGACUAACCUACCUUUUCGUGGGGGAUAACCUAGGGAAACCUGGGCUAAUACCGCAUAAUACCUACGGGUCAAAGCAGCAAUGCGCGGAUUGAGGGGGUCGCGGCCGAUUAGCUAGUUGGCGGGGUAAUGGCCCACCAAGGCAGUGAUCGGUAUCCGGCCUGAGAGGGCGCACGGACACACUGGAACUGAAACACGGUCCAGACUCCUACGGGAGGCAGCAGUGGGGAAUUUUGCGCAAUGGGGGAAACCCUGACGCAGCAACGCCGCGUGGAGGAUGAAGUCCCUUGGGACGUAAACUCCUUUCGAUCGGGACGAUUAUGACGGUACCGGAAGAAGAAGCCCCGGCUAGCUUCGUGCCAGCAGCCGCGGUAAUACGAGGGGGGCAAGCGUUGUUCGGAAUUAUUGGGCGUAAAGGGUGCGUAAGCGGUUCGGCAAGUCCCGUGAGAAAUCUUCACGCUCAACUUGAAGUCUGCACUGUAAUCUGCCGGGUUUGAUUGUCGUAGAGGUCUAUGGAGUUUA